Molecule: non-coding RNA, 262 nt
Organism: Lupinus albus (white lupine)
Lineage: Eukaryota; Viridiplantae; Streptophyta; Magnoliopsida; Fabales; Fabaceae
Source: the annotation of a GenBank genome assembly
UGGCUAGUGAGCAUCUCUACCAUGGUGGUUUAAAGAAUAGGUAACCAUUAUCUUCUCCAUAUCUCUAUUUUCCGUUUCUGAUUCUCAUUCGCGAAUGGGUAUCGUUUCCGGCAAACCCAAAGAUUUCGGAGACCGUAUGUCUUAGUAUGUGACAUUGUUGGUGUUAUCCUUGCCAGAUCCUUAUCUUGCCUGUUCUUGCUUGUUGAUGUAAUAUGUAUGAUAUAUGAUAGAACCUGUAGUUAUGCCUCUCCUGUAGUAGAGG